CCAUCGCGACCCCAGGUCAGGCGGGACUACCCGCUGAGUUUAAGCAU
RNAcentral lists this ribosomal RNA (47 nucleotides) under Morella cerifera (wax myrtle). Its description in RNAcentral is "partial 26S ribosomal RNA". Lineage: Eukaryota; Viridiplantae; Streptophyta; Magnoliopsida; Fagales; Myricaceae. RNAcentral also lists the same sequence under 8 other names. The record is from RNAcentral.